GACGAACGCUGGCGGCGUGCUUAACACAUGCAAGUCGAACGGAAAGGCCCUGCUUUUGUGGGGUGCUCGAGUGGCGAACGGGUGAGUAACACGUGAGUAACCUGCCCUUGACUUUGGGAUAACUUCAGGAAACUGGGGCUAAUACCGGAUAGGAGCUCCUGCUGCAUGGUGGGGGUUGGAAAGUUUCGGCGGUUGGGGAUGGACUCGCGGCUUAUCAGCUUGUUGGUGGGGUAGUGGCUUACCAAGGCUUUGACGGGUAGCCGGCCUGAGAGGGUGACCGGCCACAUUGGGACUGAGAUACGGCCCAGACUCCUACGGGAGGCAGCAGUGGGGAAUAUUGCACAAUGGGCGGAAGCCUGAUGCAGCAACGCCGCGUGCGGGAUGACGGCCUUCGGGUUGUAAACCGCUUUCGCCUGUGACGAAGCGUGAGUGACGGUAAUGGGUAAAGAAGCACCGGCUAACUACGUGCCAGCAGCCGCGGUGAUACGUAGGGUGCGAGCGUUGUCCGGAUUUAUUGGGCGUAAAGGGCUCGUAGGUGGUUGAUCGCGUCGGAAGUGUAAUCUUGGGGCUUAACCCUGAGCGUGCUUUCGNAUACGGUUGACUUGAGGAAGGUAGGGGAGAAUGGAAUUCCUGGUGGAGCGGUGGAAUGCGCAGAUAUCAGGAGGAACACCAGUGGCGAAGGCGGUUCUCUGGGCCUUCCCUGACGCUGAGGAGCGAAAGCGUGGGGAGCGAACAGGCUUAGAUACCCUGGUAGUCCACGCUGUAAACGGUGGGUACUAGGUGUGGGGUCCAUUCCACGGGUUCCGUGCCGUAGCUAACGCUUUAAGUACCCCGCCUGGGGAGUACGGCCGCAAGGCUAAAACUCAAAGGAAUUGACGGGGCCCCGCACAAGCGGCGGAGCAUGCGGAUUAAUUCGAUGCAACGCGUAGAACCUUACCUGGGUUUGACAUGGAUCGGGAGUGCUCAGAGAUGGGUGUGCCUCUUUUGGGGUCGGUUCACAGGUGGUGCAUGGCUGUCGUCAGCUCGUGUCGUGAGAUGUUGGGUUAAGUCCCGCAACGAGCGCAACCCUUGUUCACUGUUGCCAGCACGUUAUGGUGGGGACUCAGUGGAGACCGCCGGGGUCAACUCGGAGGAAGGUGGGGAUGACGUCAAGUCAUCAUGCCCCUUAUGUCCAGGGCUUCACGCAUGCUACAAUGGCUGGUACAGAGAGUGGCGAGCCUGUGAGGGUGAGCGAAUCUCGGAAAGCCGGUCUCAGUUCGGAUUGGGGUCUGCAACUCGACCUCAUGAAGUCGGAGUCGCUAGUAAUCGCAGAUCAGCAACGCUGCGGUGAAUACGUUCCCGGGGCU
Molecule: ribosomal RNA, 1346 nt
Filed under: uncultured bacterium
Lineage: Bacteria
Description: partial 16S ribosomal RNA
Rfam family: Bacterial small subunit ribosomal RNA
Source: RNAcentral